Molecule: long non-coding RNA, 286 nt
Organism: Lutra lutra (Eurasian river otter)
Lineage: Eukaryota; Metazoa; Chordata; Mammalia; Carnivora; Mustelidae
Exons: 3
Source: RefSeq, a predicted model, not a curated record
GCUCCAUUAAGGGGAAAAACAUUCAAUUGUGCUGUGUAAGUUCUGAGCCCCCUUUGUCCUAAUGGUGUACAGAUCACAGGAUGGCUCUUGGUCAGAGGCCAGUCAUUUUCCAAACUGCAUUUUAUACUGCCCCAGCUGACACUGGUCAAUAGCAGAAGACUGAAAGCUCUCCUCUCCUGUCAGAUCCAGUACAAGGCAAGGAUGUCCACCCGCACCACUUCUACUCAAUAUAGUACUGAAAGUCCUAGCUAGAGCACUUAGGCAAGAAAAAUUGGAAAAGAAGAAA